UCACAUUCUGAUCACUGGAAGUGUGAGGCAGGAGCACUGACUGCUUUACCAUCAUCCCGUCCUCUGUUGCGUGAUGCUUAAUUGGCAGAUCACCACACAGUGAUCUAUCUUAAACACUUUGGGGUCCAUCCUGCAGGGAGACACAAAAAUCUCCUACGAAGGCGAGAAGCAGGGAAGCCUUCAGUACCACAACCUGAAUGAUCAACGGUAGGGAGUUAUUAAAGAGGAAAUAACACAGGACUAUCCACAAGAUGGCGCCAGAGAGUCAAACUCUUCAGCCCUGUUUGGGUGAAGGCAAAUCGUUCUGGAUGUAUGAAGAAUGUGCAGAAUGUGAUCCUAUCAAAAUAAACCAUCCACGGGAGAUUCCACCUGGCCCUGUUGACAUCACUUCCGGGUCCGAGCCUAUGAAGGAACACCUUGUCGGCUCCAGCCCCUUUAAUGUCACGCCCGGGUUCAAAUCUAUGGCUGAAGACCUUCAUGAGCCCAACCCAUCUGACUUCACUGCCCGUCUUCCCCUUUAAGAGCCUCCAUCUUUCCCUUAUUCCCUCAGUUCUGUUUUAGACUCGGCUUUGUGCACAUCAGUGCUGUAUAAGAUAUUCACGAUUUUGCAGCCAGGAAACUAAUUAUACAGGUGGCUGACCCAAAACUUGCUAUGGCUCUGUACAUGUUUAACAAUUAUAUUAAUAAA
Long non-coding RNA from Polypterus senegalus (gray bichir), 688 nucleotides. RefSeq lists it as uncharacterized. The transcript is spliced from 4 exons. Lineage: Eukaryota; Metazoa; Chordata; Cladistia; Polypteriformes; Polypteridae. The record is from RefSeq and is a predicted model, not a curated record.